UACGGAGGGUGCGAGCGUUAAUCGGAUUUACUGGGCGUAAAGCGCACGUAGGCGGCUAGAUAAGUCGGGUGUGAAAUCCCUGGGCUCAACCUGGGAACUGCAUUCGAUACUGUCUGGCUAGAGUUUAGGAGAGGGAGGCGGAAUUCCCGGUGUAGCGGUGAAAUGCGUAGAUAUCGGGAAGAACACCAGUGGCGAAGGCGGCCUCCUGGCCUAAAACUGACGCUGAGGAGCGAAAGCGUGGGGAGCAAACAGG
This 253-nucleotide ribosomal RNA is filed under the name uncultured bacterium. RNAcentral's name for it is "partial 16S ribosomal RNA". It matches the Rfam family "Bacterial small subunit ribosomal RNA", at positions 524 to 776 of the family's 1533-position model. The record is from RNAcentral.